AACGUAGGAGGCGAGCGUUAUCCGGAUUUACUGGGUGUAAAGCGCGUGCAGGCGGUACGCUAAGUUGGGUGUGAAAGCUCCUGGCUCAACUGGGAGAGGUCGCUCAAGACUGGCGGACUAGAGCAUGGUAAGGGAAGGUGGAAUUCCGGGUGUAGUGGUGAAAUGCGUAGAUAUCCGGAGGAACACCAGUGGCGAAAGCGGCCUUCUGGACCAUGACUGACGCUCAGACGCGAAAGCUAGGGGAGCAAACGGG
This 253-nucleotide ribosomal RNA is filed under the name uncultured bacterium. Its description in RNAcentral is "partial 16S ribosomal RNA". It matches the Rfam family "Bacterial small subunit ribosomal RNA", at positions 524 to 776 of the family's 1533-position model. The record is from RNAcentral.